UGGGGCCUUAGAAGACAGAAAUGGCUAAAGAUAACGUGGCCUGAAAGCAGCAGACUGAAUUCAGCAAAUCACAGAAGUAGGGUGGUCACUGGGGAGAUGACUCAGCAAAUUCCCUGACCUAAGGAUGAGACCAGACAUGUUUGGUCGGCCCUUCCCCCUGGCCGAGCAGGAGAGGCGCUGGUGGAGCUGAUGGGCUGACGGCAGUGGGAAUCCUGAUCUCAAGCCCUCAUUUGACUGCAGGCCAAGCGUUUCAAACAGCAGGCCUUUCAUAGCCGGGAAAACCCCUGCUAGACCUGCUGGACACGCCACACAACCACAUACAGCUCAGCUCAUGUCAACAGAACUGAUAACCAAAUGGGGCUCCUUGGCGUCCCGUCCCCGGCAGCCUUGCCAACCCGCUACCCUCCGGGUCCCAAUUAACACGCGGCUGCACUAGAACCAGGAGGCGGGAGCUGAGGGUUUGUUUACCACAUAGUUAACAGGCAAACACAACUUAAUCACAAGGAAAACAGCUUUUAUGAGAAUCAUCUUGAAGUCCUUCAACGGUCCUAGUAAACCAUCCAGGAAGCCAAAACCUAGAGUUCCCUCCGAUGUCGUUACUGUUGGAGGGGAGGCCAGUAUGGUCUUGCUUUUUGACCAUUUACAGCCGCCAGGCUAAGCGAUGUCUCUCCCCGUUCUGAAGACCUCUCUGGGUCAUCACCCUACAUGAUCCUGUGAUCGGCUGCACUUUGGAAAGAAAUGGACUUUGGAAAGAGAUACGAGGUCGGGAAAAAAAAAAAUCUGUCUUUUAAUCUAAACCCCCCGAACACCAGGCAAUUUUCACACACUCUCUCCAUCUUCAUUCCAUCACUGGGUAGAGGACCCCUGCGUUACCUCCUUUAACAGAGAAAACCAAGGCUCUCGAGAGCAAAAAAGAUUUUGCAGAUGCGAUUAAGGUUAAGGACCUUGAGAUGAAGAGAUGAUUAUGGAUUAUCCAGGUGGGUUCAAUCAAAUCACAGGAACCCUUAAAAGAGAAGAACCUUUCCCAGCUUGUGGUCAGAGGGAGACAUGACCAUGGAAGAAAGGUCAAAGAGAGAUGGAACAGUGCUGACUUUGAAGAUGGAGGAAGAGGACCACAAACUAAAGAAUGUAGGCGGCCUCUAGAAACUGAAAAAAGCAAGAAAACAAUUUUUUCCCCAGGGCUACUAGAAGAGAAUGCAGCCCUGCUGACACCUUGAUUUUACCUCAGUGAGACCCAUGUCAAACUUCCCUCCUA
This is a long non-coding RNA of Balaenoptera ricei (Rice's whale), 1255 nucleotides long. RefSeq lists it as uncharacterized. NCBI's taxonomy places the organism in Eukaryota, Metazoa, Chordata, Mammalia, Artiodactyla, Balaenopteridae. The record is from RefSeq and is a predicted model, not a curated record. The transcript has 3 exons.